This 847-nucleotide ribosomal RNA is filed under the name Rhodococcus sp. AH21. RNAcentral describes it as "bacterial SSU rRNA". It matches the Rfam family "Bacterial small subunit ribosomal RNA", at positions 53 to 916 of the family's 1533-position model. The record is from RNAcentral. Lineage: Bacteria; Bacillati; Actinomycetota; Actinomycetes; Mycobacteriales; Nocardiaceae.
ACCAUGCAGUCGAGCGGUAAGGCCUUUCGGGGUACACGAGCGGCGAACGGGUGAGUAACACGUGGGUGAUCUGCCCUGCACUUCGGGAUAAGCCUGGGAAACUGGGUCUAAUACCGGAUAUGACCUCCUAUCGCAUGGUGGGUGGUGGAAAGAUUUAUCGGUGCAGGAUGGGCCCGCGGCCUAUCAGCUUGUUGGUGGGGUAAUGGCCUACCAAGGCGACGACGGGUAGCCGACCUGAGAGGGUGACCGGCCACACUGGGACUGAGACACGGCCCAGACUCCUACGGGAGGCAGCAGUGGGGAAUAUUGCACAAUGGGCGAAAGCCUGAUGCAGCGACGCCGCGUGAGGGAUGACGGCCUUCGGGUUGUAAACCUCUUUCAGCAGGGACGAAGCGCAAGUGACGGUACCUGCAGAAGAAGCACCGGCUAACUACGUGCCAGCAGCCGCGGUAAUACGUAGGGUGCAAGCGUUGUCCGGAAUUACUGGGCGUAAAGAGUUCGUAGGCGGUUUGUCGCGUCGUUUGUGAAAACCAGCAGCUCAACUGCUGGCUUGCAGGCGAUACGGGCAGACUUGAGUACUGCAGGGGAGACUGGAAUUCCUGGUGUAGCGGUGAAAUGCGCAGAUAUCAGGAGGAACACCGGUGGCGAAGGCGGGUCUCUGGGCAGUAACUGACGCUGAGGAACGAAAGCGUGGGUAGCGAACAGGAUUAGAUACCCUGGUAGUCCACGCCGUAAACGGUGGGCGCUAGGUGUGGGUUCCUUCCACGGAAUCCGUGCCGUAGCUAACGCAUUAAGCGCCCCGCCUGGGGAGUACGGCCGCAAGGCUAAAACUCAAAUGAAUUGACGG